GGGAUAUAUAAUGACCAAAUGUUUUCCCUUGUGACAGAUCAAUCACGUUGAUUUAACUUCACUAAGCCAGUUUCUGUCUGAUGUGCC
RNAcentral lists this small nucleolar RNA (87 nucleotides) under Castor canadensis (American beaver). RNAcentral's name for it is "Small nucleolar SNORD12/SNORD106 (ENSCCNG00000023115.1)". The record is from RNAcentral. Lineage: Eukaryota; Metazoa; Chordata; Mammalia; Rodentia; Castoridae.